Molecule: ribosomal RNA, 253 nt
Filed under: uncultured bacterium
Lineage: Bacteria
Description: partial 16S ribosomal RNA
Rfam family: Bacterial small subunit ribosomal RNA
Source: RNAcentral
GACGUAGGGGGCGAGCGUUGUCCGGAUUUAUUGGGCGUAAAGGGUGCGUAGGCGGGUCUUUAAGUCAGGGGUGAAAUCCUGGAGCUCAACUCCAGAACUGCCUUUGAUACUGAAGAUCUUGAGUUCGGGAGAGGUGAGUGGAACUGCGAGUGUAGAGGUGAAAUUCGUAGAUAUUCGCAAGAACACCAGUGGCGAAGGCGGCUCACUGGCCCGAUACUGACGCUGAGGCACGAAAGCGUGGGGAGCAAACAGG